GAUGAACGCUGGCGGCGUGCUUAACACAUGCAAGUCGAGCGAAGCACUUUCACAGAUUUCUUCGGAUUGAAGUGGAUUUGACUGAGCGGCGGACGGGUGAGUAACGCGUGGGGAACCUGCCCCAUACCGGGGGAUAACAGCUGGAAACGGCUGCUAAUACCGCAUAAGCGCACGAGGAGGCAUCUCCUUGUGUGAAAAACUCCGGUGGUAUGGGAUGGACCCGCGUUGGAUUAGCCAGUUGGCGGGGUAACGGCCCACCAAAGCGACGAUCCAUAGCCGGCCUGAGAGGGCGACCGGCCACAUUGGGACUGAGACACGGCCCAAACUCC
This 329-nucleotide ribosomal RNA is filed under the name uncultured Ruminococcus sp. RNAcentral describes it as "bacterial SSU rRNA". It matches the Rfam family "Bacterial small subunit ribosomal RNA", at positions 28 to 339 of the family's 1533-position model. The record is from RNAcentral. Lineage: Bacteria; Bacillati; Bacillota; Clostridia; Eubacteriales; Oscillospiraceae.